GGCGAGGCUAGACUCUCACCCGGGCAUGGCGUUGCCCUAGCAUGCUGGAGUCCUCGGAGGGCAGCUGCUGGCCUCAUUCGCUGGCUGUGGCCCCAUGGCCGAGCCAGUCACCAGGCCAGAGACAAGU
Small nucleolar RNA from Erinaceus europaeus (western European hedgehog), 127 nucleotides. NCBI's taxonomy places the organism in Eukaryota, Metazoa, Chordata, Mammalia, Eulipotyphla, Erinaceidae. The record is from Ensembl.